Molecule: ribosomal RNA, 452 nt
Filed under: Salmonella enterica
Lineage: Bacteria; Pseudomonadati; Pseudomonadota; Gammaproteobacteria; Enterobacterales; Enterobacteriaceae
Also listed under: 5 other names
Description: partial 23S ribosomal RNA
Rfam family: Bacterial large subunit ribosomal RNA
Source: RNAcentral
GCGAUAAGCGCCGGUAAGGUGAUAUGAACCGUUAUAACCGGCGAUACCCGAAUGGGGAAACCCAGUGUGAUUCGUCACACUAUCAUUAACUGAAUCCAUAGGUUAAUGAGGCGAACCGGGGGAACUGAAACAUCUAAGUACCCCGAGGAAAAGAAAUCAACCGAGAUUCCCCCAGUAGCGGCGAGCGAACGGGGAGGAGCCCAGAGCCUGAAUCAGCAUGUGUGUUAGUGGAAGCGUCUGGAAAGGCGCGCGAUACAGGGUGACAGCCCCGUACACAAAAGCGCAUGUGCUGUGAGCUCGAUGAGUAGGGCGGGACACGUGGUAUCCUGUCUGAAUAUGGGGGGACCAUCCUCCAAGGCUAAAUACUCCUGACUGACCGAUAGUGAACCAGUACCGUGAGGGAAAGGCGAAAAGAACCCCGGCGAGGGGAGUGAAAAAGAACCUGAAACCGU